UACAGAGGGUGCGAGCGUUGUUCGGAAUUACUGGGCGUAAAGCGCGCGCAGGCGGCCCUUUAAGUCUACCCGUGAAAUGCCGGAGCUCAACUCCGUGCACGCCGGGGGAUACUGGGGGGCUGGAGACAUGUAGAGGCAAGCGGAGUUCCGGGUGUAGCGGUGGAAUGCGUAGAGAUCCGGAAGAACACCUGAGGCGAAGGCGGCUUGCUGGGCAUGAUCUGACGCUGAGGCGCGAAAGCGUGGGGAGCAAACAGG
This 255-nucleotide ribosomal RNA is filed under the name uncultured bacterium. Its description in RNAcentral is "partial 16S ribosomal RNA". It matches the Rfam family "Bacterial small subunit ribosomal RNA", at positions 524 to 776 of the family's 1533-position model. The record is from RNAcentral.